CGAGUACAGGCUCUUGCCAGUGUUUUCUGGUCCCGUUGGAGGAAAGAGUACCUGCCGUUACUACAACAACGACGAAAAUGGACCGAAGAUCGCCGUGAUCUCAUCGAAGGAGACGUCAUUCUUCUAAAGGACAAAAACCUUUGCCGUACCCAAUGGCCCGUUGGAAUUAUAGUGAACUCAUUUAAAAGUUCAGAUGAACAUGUCCGAAAAGCAGAAGUGCGAGUAAUCGUUAACGGAAAAGCCACAACCUACACACGCCCUAUCGUGGACAUGAUUCUUCUCGUAGAGAACAACCCUGUGUAAUUAUGUGUAUAUGUAUAUAUAUUGGAUUUAGAUAGGACAUUCACAUGUGUUAUAUUUUAUGGAAUAGUGAUAUCAGAUAGAUUUCAGACGGGGAGUAUUCUGUUUCACAUUCAAUGUUUAUUACAUGUUUUCAUAUUUAUCCGGAACAAAUUGAACUGGACCGAUUUCUCAAAUCACCGUAUUAUCGACUACCUUUAAUUUCUGUGACACCGUCCGCUUCAAUAUUUCAACACAUGGAAAAUGGACGACAUUUGAACUUCCUACGGAAAUCGAGACAUACACUGUCAAGUACGUUUGAUUCAAUCAUAAACUGUGAUAAAUUAAUCUGUUUAACUCCGUUAUUUUUAGAUAAGUGGUUUAUAAAUACAUACGAACUUUAAGUUAUCUAUUUCCGAGAAAUGAACUGUAAAUUCUACUUUCGUUUUUGACUCGAUUAAUAAUC
Molecule: long non-coding RNA, 745 nt
Filed under: Mytilus galloprovincialis (Mediterranean mussel)
Lineage: Eukaryota; Metazoa; Mollusca; Bivalvia; Mytilida; Mytilidae
Source: RNAcentral